Molecule: long non-coding RNA, 214 nt
Filed under: Lathyrus oleraceus (garden pea)
Lineage: Eukaryota; Viridiplantae; Streptophyta; Magnoliopsida; Fabales; Fabaceae
Description: Pisum sativum (pea) long non-coding RNA (PSAT_LNC042024)
Source: RNAcentral
GCAGCUUCACUGCAUUAGUGGUAGCAUGUCUAACAAUUUGUUCAAACAUGAACCUUCCAUAAUCAAAGUUGAGCUUGGUUCCAAUAGCAUAUAUAAUCCUUCCAAGAGCAUUAGAUAUUGUUGAGAUGUGGUUUGUUGGCACCUAGUGGAUUGAACCUAUCUUAUGCAAGAUAGCAUAUUUUACAGUUAAUUUGCCAGCACAUAAAUGCUUUUU